This 427-nucleotide ribosomal RNA is filed under the name uncultured Hydrogenophaga sp. Its description in RNAcentral is "bacterial SSU rRNA". It matches the Rfam family "Bacterial small subunit ribosomal RNA", at positions 353 to 772 of the family's 1533-position model. The record is from RNAcentral. Lineage: Bacteria; Pseudomonadati; Pseudomonadota; Betaproteobacteria; Burkholderiales; Comamonadaceae.
AGUGGGGAAUUUUGGACAAUGGGCGCAAGCCUGAUCCAGCAAUGCCGCGUGCAGGAAGAAGGCCUUCGGGUUGUAAACUGCUUUUGUACGGAACGAAACGGCUCUGGUUAAUACCCGGGGCUAAUGACGGUACCGUAAGAAUAAGCACCGGCUAACUACGUGCCAGCAGCCGCGGUAAUACGUAGGGUGCAAGCGUUAAUCGGAAUUACUGGGCGUAAAGCGUGCGCAGGCGGUGCUGUAAGACAGGCGUGAAAUCCCCGGGCUUAACCUGGGAAUGGCGCUUGUGACUGCAGUGCUGGAGUGCGGCAGAGGGGGAUGGAAUUCCGCGUGUAGCAGUGAAAUGCGUAGAUAUGCGGAGGAACACCGAUGGCGAAGGCAAUCCCCUGGGCCUGCACUGACGCUCAUGCACGAAAGCGUGGGGAGCAAA